UGAUUUUUUAAUAGUUAUAUUUAUUAAUUAGGUAGUUUCUUUUAAUAUUUAGAAAAAGAGUUAUAAAAGGCGAUAGAGUUAGUACUGUGAGGGAAGUCAUAAAAAUGAAAGGAUUAAUCUUUGAGAAGUUGAUCUUUGUCGUACCUUUUGUAUUAGGGCUUAAUUAAAAAGGGAAAAUAUUUUUUGGUCCCGAAAUAUUUUGAGCUACUAGGAAUAAUCUUGAACGUUUUAGAGUUUAAGUGAAUUUUUUGGUUGAAAUGAAAUUUUAUUCGAAAUGUAGGAUAUCUGGUUAUAGAAAGAAAACUAUAUGUUUUUAUAUAAUGAUUUGUGUAUAAGUAUUAUUAUAUUUUUUACUUUUUAAGGAUAAGCUUGAGAAGGAGGGUAUAUAAUUAAAAAACAAAAGUUUAAGGUUUAAAAUUUACUUUAUUUUGUAAUAAAAAAAUGUUUUUUAUUGGAUUUAUUUAUAUUUGAUUUAAAUAUUUAGAAGAUAAAGGAAUUAAUAUUAAAAUUAGUAUAAGUGAGGAUUAAUAUAUUGUUUAAUUUUUUUCUAAAAAGGUAUUAAAUUAAUAGGAAUUCGGCAUAAAUUAUUUUUGAAUGUUUAUCAAAAACAUUGUAUUUUGUUAAAAAUAAAAUAUAUGACCUGCUCAAUGUAUUAUAAAUUGCUGUGGUAUUAUGACUAUACGAAGGUACUGAAAUAAGGCUUUUAAUGGGUGCUAAGAGAAUGGUUUAACAGGGAUUUUCUUUCUUUUUUUUUUUAAUAAAAUUUGAUUUAAAAAUGAAAAAGUUUUUAUUUUUUGCUGGGACAAAAAGACCCUAUGAAUUUUUUAUAAUUAAAAUUUUUAAUUAUUUUUUAAAAAAAAUUUAAGUUUUUUGUUUAUUUGGUUGGGGUGACUUUUAAAGAAUAAUUAUCUUUAAAAUUUUUAAUAAAUGGUUCCACUAUUAGUGAUUAUUUGAGAAAAAUACUCUAGGGAUAACAGCGUUAUUAUUUUGGAUAGUUCACAUAGAUAAAAUAGUUUGCGACCUCGAUGUUGGAUUAGAAUUCUUUUAUAGUGAAGAAGCUAUGUGAAGGAGUUUGCUCAACUUUUAAUUUUCUACAUGAUCUGAGUUCAGACCGGCGAAAGCCAGGUUGGUUUCUACCUAGAAAUUAAGGAGAAUUUUCGUAGUACGAAAGGAAUUGAUAAUUUAAAUUAUUUAAAAAAUGAUAAUAGUUUUAUUUUAAAAA
RNAcentral lists this ribosomal RNA (1222 nucleotides) under Ornithodoros hermsi. RNAcentral describes it as "16S ribosomal RNA". Lineage: Eukaryota; Metazoa; Arthropoda; Arachnida; Ixodida; Argasidae. The record is from RNAcentral.